Molecule: transfer RNA, 73 nt
Filed under: Rickettsiales bacterium
Lineage: Bacteria; Pseudomonadati; Pseudomonadota; Alphaproteobacteria; Rickettsiales
Description: tRNA-Ala
Rfam family: tRNA
About the family: Transfer RNA (tRNA) molecules are approximately 80 nucleotides in length.
Source: RNAcentral
GGGGCUGUAGUUCAGUUGGGAGAACGCUUCACUUGCACUGAAGAGGUCGCAGGUUCGAAUCCUGUCAGCUCCA